RNAcentral lists this ribosomal RNA (594 nucleotides) under uncultured Bacteroidota bacterium. RNAcentral's name for it is "bacterial SSU rRNA". It matches the Rfam family "Bacterial small subunit ribosomal RNA", at positions 122 to 715 of the family's 1533-position model. The record is from RNAcentral. Lineage: Bacteria; Pseudomonadati; Bacteroidota.
CAACCUGCCGCUUACUCGGGGAUAGCCUUUCGAAAGAAAGAUUAAUACCCGAUGGUAUAAAGAGUUCGCAUGUUCUCUUUAUUAAAGAAUUUCGGUAAGCGAUGGGGAUGCGUUCCAUUAGAUUGUUGGCGGGGUAACGGCCCACCAAGUCUACGAUGGAUAGGGGUUCUGAGAGGAAGGUCCCCCACAUUGGAACUGAGACACGGUCCAAACUCCUACGGGAGGCAGCAGUGAGGAAUAUUGGUCAAUGGACGCGAGUCUGAACCAGCCAAGUAGCGUGAAGGAUGACUGCCCUAUGGGUUGUAAACUUCUUUUAUAAGGGAAUAAAGUGAGGGACGUGUCCCUUUUUGUAUGUACCUUAUGAAUAAGGAUCGGCUAACUCCGUGCCAGCAGCCGCGGUAAUACGGAGGAUCCAAGCGUUAUCCGGAUUUAUUGGGUUUAAAGGGAGCGUAGGUUGACGUAUAAGUCAGCUGUGAAAGUUUACGGCUCAACCGUGAAAUUGCAGUUGAUACUGUAUGUCUUGAGUGUACAAGAGGUGGGCGGAAUUCGUGGUGUAGCGGUGAAAUGCUUAGAUAUCACGAAGAACUCCGAUUG